UCUAGAACUCAGGAUCACUCGUGUUACACUGCAAUCGCGUGUCGCCCUUAGAGUUUGAUCCUGGCUCAGGACGAACGCUGGCGGCGUGCUUAACACAUGCAAGUCGAACGGAAAGCGCUCUUUGGAGUGACUCGAGUGGCGAACGGGUGAGUAACACGUGGGUGAUCUGCCCUGCACUUUGGGAUAAGCCUGGGAAACUGGGUCUAAUACCGGAUAGGACUACAUGCUGCAUGGUGUGUGGUGGAAAGUUUUCGGACGGUGUGGGAUGGGCCCGCGGCCUAUCAGCUUGUUGGUGGGGUGAUGGCCUACCAAGGCUUCGACGGGUAGCCGGCCUGAGAGGGUGUCCGGCCACACUGGGACUGAGAUACGGCCCAGACUCCUACGGGAGGCAGCAGUGGGGAAUAUUGCACAAUGGGCGCAAGCCUGAUGCAGCGACGCCGCGUGGGGGAUGACGGCCUUCGGGUUGUAAACCUCUUUCACCAUCGACGAAGGCCCGGUUUUUGCUGGGUUGACGGUAGGUGGAGAAGAAGCACCGGCCAACUACGUGCCAGCAGCCGCGGUAAUACGUAGGGUGCGAGCGUUGUCCGGAAUUACUGGGCGUAAAGGGCUUGUAGGUGGUUUGUCGCGUUGUUCGUGAAAUGCCACAGCUUAACUGUGGGCGUGCGGGCGAUACGGGCAGACUGGAGUACUGCAGGGGAGACUGGAAUUCCUGGUGUAGCGGUGGAAUGCGCAGAUAUCAGGAGGAACACCGGUGGCGAAGGCGGGUCUCUGGGCAGUAACUGACGCUGAGGAGCGAAAGCGUGGGGAGCGAACAGGAUUAGAUACCCUGGUAGUCCACGCCGUAAACGGUGGGUACUAGGUGUGGGUUUCCUUCCUUGGGAUCCGUGCCGUAGCUAACGCAUUAAGUACCCCGCCUGGGGAGUACGGCCGCAAGGCUAAAACUCAAAGGAAUUGACGGGGGCCCGCACAAGCGGCGGAGCAUGUGGAUUAAUUCGAUGCAACGCGAAGAACCUUACCUGGGUUUGACAUGCACAGGACGCGUCUAGAGAUAGGCGUUCCCUUGUGGCCUGUGUGCAGGUGGUGCAUGGCUGUCGUCAGCUCGUGUCGUGAGAUGUUGGGUUAAGUCCCGCAACGAGCGCAACCCUUGUCUCAUGUUGCCAGCAUUAAGUUGGGGACUCAUGGAAGACUGCCGGUGACAAACCGGAGGAAGGUGGGGAUGACGUCAAGUCAUCAUGCCCCUUAUGUCCAGGGCUUCACACAUGCUACAAUGGCCGGUACAAAGGGCUGCGAUGCCGUGAGGCUUAGCGAAUCCUUUUCAAAGCCGGUCUCAGUUCGGAUCGGGGUCUGCAACUCGACCCCGUGAAGUCGGAGUCGCUAGUAAUCGCAGAUCAGCAACGCUGCGGUGAAUGCGUUCCCGGGCCUUGUACACACCGCCCGUCACGUCAUGAAAGUCGGUAACACCCGAAGCCCAUGGCCUAACCCGUAAGGGAGGGAGUGGUCGAAGGUGGGAUCGGCGAUUGGGACGAAGUCGUAACAAGGUAACCAAGGGCGACACGCGAUUGCAGUCUUGAGUCCACCUGAAGU
This 1584-nucleotide ribosomal RNA is filed under the name uncultured bacterium. RNAcentral's name for it is "bacterial SSU rRNA". It matches the Rfam family "Bacterial small subunit ribosomal RNA". The record is from RNAcentral.